RNAcentral lists this ribosomal RNA (483 nucleotides) under uncultured bacterium. Its description in RNAcentral is "partial 16S ribosomal RNA". It matches the Rfam family "Bacterial small subunit ribosomal RNA", at positions 30 to 507 of the family's 1533-position model. The record is from RNAcentral.
UUGAACGCUGGCGGCAGGCCUAACACAUGCAAGUCGAACGGAUGAAGGGAGCUUGCUCCUGGAUUCAGCGGCGGACGGGUGAGUAAUGCCUAGGAAUCUGCCUGGUAGUGGGGGAUAACGUCCGGAAACGGGCGCUAAUACCGCAUACGUCCUGAGGGAGAAGGUGGGGGAUCUUCGGCCCUCACGCUAUCAGAUGAGCCUAGGUCGGAUUAGCUAGUUGGUGGGGUAAAGGCCUACCAAGGCGACGAUCCGUAACUGGUCUGAGAGGAUGAUCAGUCACACUGGAACUGAGACACGGUCCAGACUCCUACGGGAGGCAGCAGUGGGGAAUAUUGAACAAUGGGCGAAAGCCUGAUCCAGCCAUGCCGCGUGUGUGAAGAAGGUCUUCGGAUUGUAAAGCACUUUAAGUUGGGAGGAAGGGCAGUAAGUUAAUACCUUGCUGUUUUGACGUUACCAACAGAAUAAGCACCGGCUAACUUCGUG